GAUGAACGCUGGCGGCGUGCCUAAUACAUGCAAGUCGAGCGAACGGACGAGAAGCUUGCUUCUCUGAUGUUAGCGGCGGACGGGUGAGUAACACGUGGAUAACCUACCUAUAAGACUGGGAUAACUUCGGGAAACCGUAGCUAAUACCGGAUAAUAUUUUGAACCGCAUGGUUCAAAAGUGAAAGACGGUCUUGCUGUCACUUAUAGAUGGAUCCGCGCUGCAUUAGCUAGUUGGUAAGGUAACGGCUUACCAAGGCAACGAUGCAUAGCCGACCUGAGAGGGUGAUCGGCCACACUGGAACUGAGACACGGUCCAGACUCCUACGGGAGGCAGCAGUAGGGAAUCUUCCGCAAUGGGCGAAAGCCUGACGGAGCAACGCCGCGUGAGUGAUGAAGGUCUUCGGAUCGUAAAACUCUGUUAUUAGGGAAGAACAUAUGUGUAAAUAACUGUACACAUCUUGACGGUACCUAAUCAGAAAGCCACGGCUAACUACGUG
Molecule: ribosomal RNA, 497 nt
Filed under: uncultured bacterium
Lineage: Bacteria
Description: partial 16S ribosomal RNA
Rfam family: Bacterial small subunit ribosomal RNA
Source: RNAcentral